RNAcentral lists this ribosomal RNA (2888 nucleotides) under Aeromonas veronii. RNAcentral's name for it is "bacterial LSU rRNA". It matches the Rfam family "Bacterial large subunit ribosomal RNA". Lineage: Bacteria; Pseudomonadati; Pseudomonadota; Gammaproteobacteria; Aeromonadales; Aeromonadaceae. The record is from RNAcentral.
UUAAGUGACUAAGCGUACAUGGUGGAUGCCUUGGCAGUCAGAGGCGAUGAAGGACGUACUAACCUGCGAUAAGCUGUGAGAAGUCGGUAAGAGACGCUAUUACUCACAGAUUUCCGAAUGGGGAAACCCACCCAAGAUAACUUGGGUAUCUGUUACUGAAUACAUAGGUAACAGAGGCGAACCGGGAGAACUGAAACAUCUAAGUACCCCGAGGAAAAGAAAUCAACCGAGAUUCCCUCAGUAGCGGCGAGCGAACGGGGAUUAGCCCUUAAGCAUCUUGGAAGUUAGUGGAACGGUCCUGGAAAGGCCGGCGAUACAGGGUGAUAGCCCCGUACACGAAAACAACCUUGAUGUGAAAUCGAGUAGGGCGGGACACGUGACAUCCUGUCUGAAUAUGGGGGGACCAUCCUCCAAGGCUAAAUACUCCUGACUGACCGAUAGUGAACCAGUACCGUGAGGGAAAGGCGAAAAGAACCCCUGUGAGGGGAGUGAAAUAGAACCUGAAACCGUGUACGUACAAGCAGUGGGAGCCCUUCGGGGUGACUGCGUACCUUUUGUAUAAUGGGUCAGCGACUUACAUUUUGUAGCGAGGUUAACCGUAUAGGGGAGCCGUAGGGAAACCGAGUCUUAACUGGGCGUCUAGUUGCAAGGUGUAGACCCGAAACCGGGUGAUCUAGCCAUGGGCAGGUUGAAGGUUGAGUAACAUCAACUGGAGGACCGAACCCACUAACGUUGCAAAGUUAGGGGAUGACCUGUGGCUGGGGGUGAAAGGCCAAUCAAACUCGGAGAUAGCUGGUUCUCCCCGAAAGCUAUUUAGGUAGCGCCUCGGACGAAUACUACUGGGGGUAGAGCACUGUUUGGGCUAGGGGGUCAUCCCGACUUACCAACCCCAUGCAAACUCCGAAUACCAGUAAGUAAUAUCCGGGAGACACACGGCGGGUGCUAACGUCCGUCGUGAAGAGGGAAACAACCCAGACCGCCGGCUAAGGUCCCAAAGUUCUGGUUAAGUGGGAAACGAUGUGGGAAGGCUCAGACAGCUAGGAUGUUGGCUUAGAAGCAGCCAUCAUUUAAAGAAAGCGUAAUAGCUCACUAGUCGAGUCGGCCUGCGCGGAAGAUGUAACGGGGCUCAAACCAGGCACCGAAGCCGCGGAUUCACACUUAUGUGUGAGUGGUAGGGGAGCGUUCUGUAAGUCUGCGAAGGUGUAUCGAGAGGUAUGCUGGAGAUAUCAGAAGUGCGAAUGCUGACGUAAGUAACGAUAAAGGGGGUGAAAAGCCUCCUCGCCGGAAGACCAAGGGUUCCUGUCCAACGUUAAUCGGGGCAGGGUGAGUCGACCCCUAAGGCGAGGCCGAAAGGCGUAGUCGAUGGGAAGCAGGUUAAUAUUCCUGCACGACUUGUAAUUGCGAUGGGGGGACGGAGAAGGCUAGGUGGGCCAGGCGACGGUUGUCCUGGUGAAAGUGCGUAGGUGGUGUUUCUAGGCAAAUCCGGAGACACAACACUGAGACACGAGACGAACACACUACGGUGUGGAAGCCAUUGAUGCCCUGCUUCCAGGAAAAGCCUCUAAGCUUCAGAUUACAAGUCAUCGUACCCCAAACCGACACAGGUGGUCGGGUAGAGAAUACCAAGGCGCUUGAGAGAACUCGGGUGAAGGAACUAGGCAAAAUAGAACCGUAACUUCGGGAGAAGGUUCGCUCUUGACAGUGAAGUCCCUUGCGGAUGGAGCAGUUGGGAGUCGCAGUGACCAGAUGGCUGGGACUGUUUAUCAAAAACACAGCACUCUGCAAACACGAAAGUGGACGUAUAGGGUGUGACACCUGCCCGGUGCCGGAAGGUUAAUUGAUGGGGUUAGCGCAAGCGAAGCUCUUGAUCGAAGCCCCGGUAAACGGCGGCCGUAACUAUAACGGUCCUAAGGUAGCGAAAUUCCUUGUCGGGUAAGUUCCGACCUGCACGAAUGGUGUAACCAUGGCCAUGCUGUCUCCACCCGAGACUCAGUGAAAUCGAAUUCGCCGUGAAGAUGCGGUGUACCCGCGGCUAGACGGAAAGACCCCGUGAACCUUUACUACAGCUUGGCACUGAACAUUGAACCUACAUGUGUAGGAUAGGUGGGAGGCUUUGAAGGCGUGACGCCAGUUGCGCUGGAGCCGUCCUUGAAAUACCACCCUUGUAUGUUUGAUGUUCUAACGCAGGGCCCUGAAUCGGGCUCGCGGACAGUGCCUGGUGGGUAGUUUGACUGGGGCGGUCUCCUCCCAAAGAGUAACGGAGGAGCACGAAGGUUGGCUAAUCCUGGUCGGACAUCAGGAGGUUAGUGCAAUGGCAUAAGCCAGCUUAACUGCGAGACGGACAGGUCGAGCAGGUACGAAAGUAGGUCAUAGUGAUCCGGUGGUUCUGAAUGGAAGGGCCAUCGCUCAACGGAUAAAAGGUACUCCGGGGAUAACAGGCUGAUACCGCCCAAGAGUUCAUAUCGACGGCGGUGUUUGGCACCUCGAUGUCGGCUCAUCACAUCCUGGGGCUGAAGUCGGUCCCAAGGGUAUGGCUGUUCGCCAUUUAAAGUGGUACGCGAGCUGGGUUCAGAACGUCGUGAGACAGUUCGGUCCCUAUCUGCCGUGGGCGUUGGAUGAUUGAAGGGAGUUGCUCCUAGUACGAGAGGACCGGAGUGAACGAACCUCUGGUGUUCGGGUUGUCACGCCAGUGGCACUGCCCGGUAGCUAAGUUCGGAAUCGAUAACCGCUGAAAGCAUCUAAGCGGGAAGCGAGCCCUGAGAUGAGUCAUCCCUGACCCCUUGAGGGUCCUAAAGGGCCGUUGGAGACCACAACGUUGAUAGGUGGGGUGUGUAAGCGCGGCGACGUGUUGAGCUAACCCAUACUAAUUACCCGUGAGGCUUAACCAU